UUGAUGGAGAGUUUGAUUCUGGCUCAGAACGAACGCUGGCGGCGUGGAUAAGACAUGCAAGUCGAACGAGAGAAUUGCUAGCUUGCUAAUAAUUCUCUAGUGGCGCACGGGUGAGUAACACGUGAGUAACCUGCCCCGAGAGCGGGAUAGCCCUGGGAAACUGGGAUUAAUACCGCAUAGUAUCGAAAGAUUAAAGCAGCAAUGCGCUUGGGGAUGGGCUCGCGGCCUAUUAGUUAGUUGGUGAGGUAACGGCUCACCAAGGCGAUGACGGGUAGCCGGUCUGAGAGGAUGUCCGGCCACACUGGAACUGAGACACGGUCCAGACACCUACGGGUGGCAGCAGUCGAGAAUCAUUCACAAUGGGGGAAACCCUGAUGGUGCGACGCCGCGUGGGGGAAUGAAGGUCUUCGGAUUGUAAACCCCUGUCAUGUGGGAGCAAAUUAAAAAGAUAGUACCACAAGAGGAAGAGACGGCUAACUCUGUGCCAGCAGCCGCGGUAAUACAGAGGUCUCAAGCGUUGUUCGGAAUCACUGGGCGUAAAGCGUGCGUAGGCUGUUUCGUAAGUCGUGUGUGAAAGGCGCGGGCUCAACCCGCGGACGGCACAUGAUACUGCGAGACUAGAGUAAUGGAGGGGGAACCGGAAUUCUCGGUGUAGCAGUGAAAUGCGUAGAUAUCGAGAGGAACACUCGUGGCGAAGGCGGGUUCCUGGACAUUAACUGACGCUGAGGCACGAAGGCCAGGGGAGCGAAAGGGAUUAGAUACCCCUGUAGUCCUGGCAGUAAACGGUGCACGCUUGGUGUGCGGGGAAUCGACCCCCUGCGUGCCGGAGCUAACGCGUUAAGCGUGCCGCCUGGGGAGUACGGUCGCAAGAUUAAAACUCAAAGAAAUUGACGGGGACCCGCACAAGCGGUGGAGUAUGUGGCUUAAUUCGAUGCAACGCGAAGAACCUUACCUGGGCUUGACAUGUAAUGAACAACAUGUGAAAGCAUGCGACUCUUCGGAGGCGUUACACAGGUGCUGCAUGGCCGUCGUCAGCUCGUGUCGUGAGAUGUUUGGUUAAGUCCAGCAACGAGCGCAACCCCUGUUGCCAGUUACCAGCACGUGAAGGUGGGGACUCUGGCGAGACUGCCCAGAUCAACUGGGAGGAAGGUGGGGACGACGUCAGGUCAGUAUGGCCCUUAUGCCCAGGGCUGCACACGUACUACAAUGCCCAGUACAGAGGGGGCCGAAGCCGCGAGGCGGAGGAAAUCCUAAAAACUGGGCCCAGUUCGGACUGUAGGCUGCAACCCGCCUACACGAAGCCGGAAUCGCUAGUAAUGGCGCAUCAGCUACGGCGCCGUGAAUACGUUCCCGGGUCUUGUACACACCGCCCGUCACAUCAUGGAAGCCGGUCGCACCCGAAGUAUCUGAAGCCAACCGCAAGGAGGCAGGGUCCUAAGGUGAGACUGGUAACUGGGAUGAAGUCGUAACAAGGUAGCCGUAGGGGAACCUGCGGCUGGAUCACCUCCUUU
RNAcentral lists this ribosomal RNA (1511 nucleotides) under Akkermansia muciniphila ATCC BAA-835. RNAcentral describes it as "bacterial SSU rRNA". It matches the Rfam family "Bacterial small subunit ribosomal RNA". The record is from RNAcentral. Lineage: Bacteria; Pseudomonadati; Verrucomicrobiota; Verrucomicrobiia; Verrucomicrobiales; Akkermansiaceae.